UCGGAGAGUUUGAUCCUGGCUCAGGAUGAACGCUGGCGGCGUGCCUAAUACAUGCAAGUCGAGCGAACUGAUUAGAAGCUUGCUUCUAUGACGUUAGCGGCGGACGGGUGAGUAACACGUGGGCAACCUGCCUGUAAGACUGGGAUAACUUCGGGAAACCGAAGCUAAUACCGGAUAGGAUCUUCUCCUUCAUGGGAGAUGAUUGAAAGAUGGUUUCGGCUAUCACUUACAGAUGGGCCCGCGGUGCAUUAGCUAGUUGGUGAGGUAACGGCUCACCAAGGCAACGAUGCAUAGCCGACCUGAGAGGGUGAUCGGCCACACUGGGACUGAGACACGGCCCAGACUCCUACGGGAGGCAGCAG
RNAcentral lists this ribosomal RNA (362 nucleotides) under Priestia megaterium. Its description in RNAcentral is "bacterial SSU rRNA". It matches the Rfam family "Bacterial small subunit ribosomal RNA", at positions 1 to 354 of the family's 1533-position model. The record is from RNAcentral. Lineage: Bacteria; Bacillati; Bacillota; Bacilli; Caryophanales; Bacillaceae.